GCACCGCUGAGGAGUCCCAUAAUAGGACGAAACGUCCGUCCGGUGU
Schistosoma mansoni is the source of this 46-nucleotide non-coding RNA. NCBI's taxonomy places the organism in Eukaryota, Metazoa, Platyhelminthes, Trematoda, Strigeidida, Schistosomatidae. The record is from Rfam.